Pelobates cultripes (western spadefoot toad) is the source of this 454-nucleotide non-coding RNA. NCBI's taxonomy places the organism in Eukaryota, Metazoa, Chordata, Amphibia, Anura, Pelobatidae. The record is from the annotation of a GenBank genome assembly.
GUUUCCAGUAUUCGUGAGUUUCCUGUUCGGGAGUUGGAGAAUUCAUGUAGUUUGCAGUUCGGGAGAUUGGUGAUUGCAGUAGCUGUCUGUACAUCUGAAAGGGGAAUAUCGCCUAAACGGUUUUUAACCUCUUGUGGGCAAAACGGUCCGUUACAGCAUCACUGAGCUAAACCUGUUUAAACUAUAAAAUUGUGGUACAUAAUCCAAUGUUUACGCUAACUGAGAACCUAUACUGCUGCAAUUUUGUUCUCUCUAACCUGAAAAAUGUGCCUGACUAUUGAUUACCACAACCCAUACAGCAAAUGUUUAUUAUAAUAUCCUGAUAUCGCUGUUGUGGCACACCAAGGCUUACUGUUACUUUUGUGCACAACGAAAAUAACGAUUUUUUUUAAAAAGUGAAGUUCUGUUUGUAUUAUUUUUAAACUAAAUAAAAGACCACGGCCUUUUCAGCACA